GCUCCAACACUUCAAGAUGUGAGGGAUCCGAAGUGGAAGUAUGGAAUGGCAAUAACACUCAAUUUUAAGGUAAGUUGUUAUGUUCCUCAUGUCUCUUUUUUCAUAAAUAGUGAAGUAAUUUUCUCUUUAUUUUCUCUUGCUUCAUGCAUAUGCUGAUAUGCACAGGUCUUUGAGUUACAAAAGUCGUAACUGCAAAUCCGUAAUCCAAGAACAAAUCCAACGUCAAGUGGUAAAAUCUCUCUGUCUCUCUUCUCAAAGUACAAAAAUUAACAUAAACAUCAAAACCAAAAAAAAUAAAAAUAAUUACCACAAACACCCAACACAAAAACAACAACAUACCCACGAGGCCACGACAAAACAAAAACUCCAAACUCAAACUACUUAAACUUCACUUGCCCACGAAACACACAAUAAUCGACAAAAAAAAAAUUCCAAACGCACACUAAAAACUUCUCACGGCCACGAAACACACAAGAAUCGACAAAAACACCACACUCGCACUAAAAAUUCGCAUGACCACGAAAUACAACACAAACACUACUUUUGUUUUUCGUUAUUUUGGUUGAUGAAACAUACAUUAAUUUGUAACCUUAUUUUAUGUAAAAUUCAUUUUCUCUGGAUGUAAGAUUUU
Molecule: long non-coding RNA, 631 nt
Filed under: Capsella grandiflora
Lineage: Eukaryota; Viridiplantae; Streptophyta; Magnoliopsida; Brassicales; Brassicaceae
Description: long non-coding RNA (CGRA_LNC000053)
Source: RNAcentral